AUUGAACGCUGGCGGCAGGCUUAACACAUGCAAGUCGAACGAGUGGCGGACGGGUGAGUUAUGCUUGGGAACCUAGCUUAUGGAUGGGGAUAACUACGGGAAACUGUAGCUAAUCCCGCGUACCAUAGGAUGAGCCCAUGUGGGAUUAGGUAGUUGGUGGGGUAAAGGGUCACCAAGCCGACGAUCUCUAGCUGGUCUGAGAGGAUGACCAGCCAAACUGGGACUGAGGCACGGCGCAGACGCCUACGGGAGUCAACAGUGGGGAAGAUGGCGCAAUGGGGGAAAGCUGACGCAGCCAUGCAGCGUGAAUGAAGAAGGCCUUCGGGUUGUAAAGUUCUUUCGGUAGCGAGGCGUUAACUGCAGAAGAAGCACCGGCUAACUCCGUGCCAGCCGCCGCGGUAAUUC
RNAcentral lists this ribosomal RNA (405 nucleotides) under uncultured bacterium. RNAcentral describes it as "partial 16S ribosomal RNA". It matches the Rfam family "Bacterial small subunit ribosomal RNA", at positions 30 to 526 of the family's 1533-position model. The record is from RNAcentral.